RNAcentral lists this ribosomal RNA (253 nucleotides) under uncultured bacterium. RNAcentral describes it as "partial 16S ribosomal RNA". It matches the Rfam family "Bacterial small subunit ribosomal RNA", at positions 524 to 776 of the family's 1533-position model. The record is from RNAcentral.
UACGUAGGUGGCAAGCGUUGUCCGGAUUUACUGGGUGUAAAGGGCGUGUAGCCGGGCUGACAAGUCAGAUGUGAAAUUCCGGGGCUCAACCCCGGACCUGCAUUUGAAACUGUUGGUCUUGAGUAUCGGAGAGGCAGGCGGAAUUCCUAGUGUAGCGGUGAAAUGCGUAGAUAUUAGGAGGAACACCAGUGGCGAAGGCGGUCUGCUGGACAGCAACUGACGCUGAGGCGCGAAAGCGUGGGGAGCAAACAGG